AACUCGAAAAUUGAGAACGCGUGAAAAUCAAACAGAAACCGUGAGAUGACUAUUUCGAUUAUACAUUGGAUUUUAUCAGUCGCGCUUCGGACGACGUAGAAAUAAGGUGGGCUUGUGUUAAAAGUGAUUACGGUAUUGUGGAGAUAUUGUGUGGAGAUAUAAACAUGUGCGCGCGUAACAUGAAUUCGAAGAGCUUUGUUGCGAUACAUAGAAACGAUACGAAGUCGUGAGGUUUCCAUUCUCGCAUAGGAGUAUAAUAGAAAAUACCUCACCGCGGUAUUUGAUAAAAGGGAAGAAAACCUUACGAAACAGAAGCAGAGCUAGAGCAGCUCUCCUGCCUAUACAACACCACGGAUUGAAUAGAAGCAAUUUUAGUAACGCUUCAACGCGAAAUAUAUGGCGUAUAGUUAAAGAAUUGAAGUAGACUUGAAUGAUGUUUGAAGAGUUCCGGAGAAGAAUUAACAGCAGGAUUUUGAGUUGAGUUUUUGGAUAAGGACAUCGUGUGUUGUCUUCACGUUGGACAGUUAAGCACCGAAACCGGUGAAGUGAGGACGUCUCGCAAUAUUUCAUCGUCUUCCGUAUCUCGUCAGAGUCACAGAGAGCUGCAACAUAUAAGGCUUUCAAUCAGUCACCACGGCGGUUCAUUCGUCGCAGUACUCAUUCAACUUCCAACCACGAAGGGUAGGAGUUAUACAUGGCAUCGCUUAAUUCAUUCACAGGUAUCCGAAGAUGCAGCCGCCGUAGCUGCUGUUUGACCGGACUCCCCCUGUUCAUCAGGGGGAGUCCACCCGUCCCCUGGGACUGCGCGGCCUCCCACCGCCCCCGGGGUCCC
Athalia rosae (coleseed sawfly) is the source of this 832-nucleotide long non-coding RNA. RefSeq lists it as uncharacterized. NCBI's taxonomy places the organism in Eukaryota, Metazoa, Arthropoda, Insecta, Hymenoptera, Athaliidae. The transcript is spliced from 5 exons. The record is from RefSeq and is a predicted model, not a curated record.